RNAcentral lists this ribosomal RNA (1517 nucleotides) under uncultured bacterium. Its description in RNAcentral is "bacterial SSU rRNA". It matches the Rfam family "Bacterial small subunit ribosomal RNA". The record is from RNAcentral.
AGAGUUUGAUCCUGGCUCAGGACGAACGCUGGCGGCGUGCCUAACACAUGCAAGUCGAGCGGAGAUUGCAGUAAUGUAAUCUUAGCGGCGGACGGGUGAGUAACGCGUGGGCAACCUGCCUAUAACUGGGGGAUAACACAGGGAAACUUGUGCUAAUACCGCAUAACAUCAUGGAAGGACAUCCUUUUAUGAUCAUCCUUUUAUGGUCAAAGGAGCAAUCCGGUGAUAGAUGGGCCCGCGGCUGAUUAGCUAGUUGGUGAGGUAAUGGCUCACCAAGGCGACGAUCAGUAGCCGACCUGAGAGGGUGAUCGGCCACACUGGGACUGAGACACGGCCCAGACUCCUACGGGAGGCAGCAGUGGGGAAUAUUGCGCAAUGGGGGAAACCCUGACGCAGCAACGCCGCGUGAAGGAUGAAGGUUUUCGGAUCGUAAACUUCUGUUGUAAGGGAAGAAUAAUGACNNNNNNNNNNNGGCGGUGAACUGACGGUACCUUACCAGAAAGCCACGGCUAACUACGUGCCAGCAGCCGCGGUAAUACGUAGGUGGCAAACGUUGUCCGGAAUUACUGGGCGUAAAGGGCGAGUAGGUGGUUUAUUAAGUCAGAAGUGAAAACUCCAGGCUCAACUUGGAGACUGCUUUACGAAACUGGUAAACUUAGUGCAAGAGAGGGAAGUGAAUGUGUCGUGUAGCGGUGAAAUGCGUAGAUAUUAGGAGGAACACCAGUGGCGAAGGCGACUUCCUGGCUUGUAACUGACACUGAGGCGCGAAAGCGUGGGGAUCAAACAGGAUUAGAUACCCUGGUAGUCCACGCCGUAAACGAUGAGUGCUAGGUGUCGGGGGUAUCGACCCCCUCGGUGCCACAGCUAACGCAAUAAGCACUCCGCCUGGGGAGUACGGUCGCAAGACUGAAACUCAAAGGAAUUGACGGGGGCCCGCACAAGCGGUGGAGUAUGUGGUUUAAUUCGACGCAACGCGAAGAACCUUACCAAGGCUUGACAUCCUGUGACAGCUAUAGAAAUCGUCUUCUUAGUUUACUAAGACACAGAGACAGGUGGUGCAUGGUUGUCGUCAGCUCGUGUCGUGAGAUGUUGGGUUAAGUCCCGCAACGAGCGCAACCCCUAUCCCAUGUUACCAGCACGUAAAGGUGGGCACUCAAGAGAGACUGCCGUCGACAAGACGGAGGAAGGUGGGGAUGACGUCAAGUCAUCAUGCCCCUUAUGUCCUGGGCUACACACGUACUACAAUGGGCGUAAACAGAGGGAUGCAAGACCGCGAGGUGGAGCCAAUCCCAUAAAUACGCUCUCAGUUCGGAUCGGAGGCUGCAACUCGCCUCCGUGAAGUCGGAAUCGCUAGUAAUCGCAGAUCAGCAUGCUGCGGUGAAUACGUUCCCGGGCCUUGUACACACCGCCCGUCACACCACGAAAGUUGGAAACACCCGAAGCCGGUGGGCUAACCGCAAGGGAGCAGCCGUCGAAGGUGGGGCCGAUGAUUGGGGUGAAGUCGUAACAAGGUAACC